AAAACUUUCAACAACGGAUCUCUUGGUUCUGGCAUCGAUGAAGAACGCAGCGAAAUGCGAUANGUAAUGUGAAUUGCAGAAUUCAGUGAAUCAUCGAAUCUUUGAACGCACAUUGCGCCCUCUGGUAUUCCGGAGGGCAUGCCUGUUCGAGCGUCAUUAUCAACCAUCAAGCUCUGCUUGGCAUUGACUGUCACCCCCUAGGGGGAGCGGUCUAAACAGGUCGGCUUCGGAUGCGAACCGCGAGCGUUAGUAAUACUUCCCGCUUUGCAGGUCAAAUCUGUUAGCCUCCAAAACCCAACACNUCAAGGUUGACCUCGGAUCAGGUAGG
RNAcentral lists this ribosomal RNA (328 nucleotides) under Chaetothyriales sp. NY245B. Its description in RNAcentral is "eukaryotic LSU rRNA". The stretch from base 3 to 156 matches the Rfam family "5.8S ribosomal RNA". Lineage: Eukaryota; Fungi; Ascomycota; Eurotiomycetes; Chaetothyriales. The record is from RNAcentral.